GGUCAGGUAGCCUACGGUUAAGGCAGCCGAUGCGUGUUAGGUCCGGAUCCAUUGGAUCUGGUCGCUGGUUCGAAUCCAGCCCUGACCA
This 88-nucleotide transfer RNA is filed under the name Cronartium ribicola 11-2. RNAcentral describes it as "tRNA-Und (NNN) (tRNA-Und-NNN-116-1)". It matches the Rfam family "tRNA". Rfam says of the family: Transfer RNA (tRNA) molecules are approximately 80 nucleotides in length. Their secondary structure includes four short double-helical elements and three loops (D, anti-codon, and T loops). The record is from RNAcentral. Lineage: Eukaryota; Fungi; Basidiomycota; Pucciniomycetes; Pucciniales; Coleosporiaceae.